GGGUUGUUAGCUCAGCUGGCAGAGCAGCCGCCUCUUAAGCGGAAGUGCAUAGGUACCCUGCGGGAAGGCUUACGCCUACAAGUCCUAUACAGCCCACCA
This 99-nucleotide transfer RNA is filed under the name Leptolyngbya sp. SIOISBB. RNAcentral describes it as "tRNA-Lys". It matches the Rfam family "tRNA". Rfam says of the family: Transfer RNA (tRNA) molecules are approximately 80 nucleotides in length. Their secondary structure includes four short double-helical elements and three loops (D, anti-codon, and T loops). Lineage: Bacteria; Bacillati; Cyanobacteriota; Cyanophyceae; Leptolyngbyales; Leptolyngbyaceae. The record is from RNAcentral.